This 253-nucleotide ribosomal RNA is filed under the name uncultured bacterium. RNAcentral describes it as "partial 16S ribosomal RNA". It matches the Rfam family "Bacterial small subunit ribosomal RNA", at positions 524 to 776 of the family's 1533-position model. The record is from RNAcentral.
UACGUAGGUGGCAAGCGUUAUCCGGAUUUAUUGGGCGUAAAGGGAACGCAGGCGGUCUUUUAAGUCUGAUGUGAAAGCCUUCGGCUUAACCGGAGUAGUGCAUUGGAAACUGGGAGACUUGAGUGCAGAAGAGGAGAGUGGAACUCCAUGUGUAGCGGUGAAAUGCGUAGAUAUAUGGAAGAACACCAGUGGCGAAAGCGGCUCUCUGGUCUGUAACUGACGCUGAGGGUCGAAAGCGUGGGGAUCGAACAGG